UACGUAGGAGGCGAGCGUUGUCCGGAUUUACUGGGCGUAAAGGGAGCGUAGGCGGACUUUUAAGUGAGAUGUGAAAUACUCGGGCUCAACUUGAGUGCUGCAUUUCAAACUGGAAGUCUAGAGUGCAGGAGAGGAGAAUGGAAUUCCUAGUGUAGCGGUGAAAUGCGUAGAGAUUAGGAAGAACACCAGUGGCGAAGGCGAUUCUCUGGACUGUAACUGACGCUGAGGCUCGAAAGCGUGGGGAGCAAACAGG
RNAcentral lists this ribosomal RNA (253 nucleotides) under uncultured bacterium. RNAcentral describes it as "partial 16S ribosomal RNA". It matches the Rfam family "Bacterial small subunit ribosomal RNA", at positions 524 to 776 of the family's 1533-position model. The record is from RNAcentral.